GACGUAGGGCGCGAGCGUUGUCCGGAUUGAUUGGGCGUAAAGAGCUCGUAGGCGGCUCGUUGCGUCGGCUGUGAAAACCCGCAGCUCAACUGUGGGCCUGCAGCCGAUACGGGCGGGCUGGAGUUCGGUAGGGGAGACUGGAAUUCCUGGUGUAGCGGUGAAAUGCGCAGAUAUCAGGAGGAACACCGGUGGCGAAGGCGGCUCUCUGGUCCAUGACUGACGCUGAGGUGCGAAAGCUAGGGGAGCAAACGGG
Molecule: ribosomal RNA, 253 nt
Filed under: uncultured bacterium
Lineage: Bacteria
Description: partial 16S ribosomal RNA
Rfam family: Bacterial small subunit ribosomal RNA
Source: RNAcentral